RNAcentral lists this microRNA (23 nucleotides) under Pristionchus pacificus. Its description in RNAcentral is "ppc-miR-8364i-5p". Lineage: Eukaryota; Metazoa; Nematoda; Chromadorea; Rhabditida; Neodiplogasteridae. The record is from miRBase by way of RNAcentral.
UCUUCAUUUCACGUGCUCACUCA